GAGCUGACUGCCAGUGGGAAAGGAUCUCUUUCUGGAGAUCCCUCCUCUGGGGUUUUGCAGUGAGCCCAGGAUGUGGAAACCAUCUUAGCAUUACUGUGUGCAGUAAAGCAAGCUAUCUUGUUCAACUCAGAGAAGGCUGGAUUUGAUUUGCCCUCGUGAGUCAACAGGACACAAAUUCUCUGAGUCCCCUAACUGAAAGUGGACCAUUCCUUUGCAAGCAACAAGAGACAUGCCUUCAAACUUUGACUUAGCUUUUGUAAGUG
Molecule: long non-coding RNA, 263 nt
Organism: Tympanuchus pallidicinctus (lesser prairie-chicken)
Lineage: Eukaryota; Metazoa; Chordata; Aves; Galliformes; Phasianidae
Exons: 3
Source: RefSeq, a predicted model, not a curated record